AGCUUUUGAUGAGGAUGAUACAUCACCAUGAAUUUUUGAAUUGAUCAAAGUUCUAUUCCCUUGUUGUAAAACAGGAAAAUUAGAACUUGCAGAGCUAUAUGCAGAAUUUUGUCGAUCAAAAUAUGAAGGGUUUGUUCUUCCACCUCGUCCUCUACCCUUGGCGAUUUGCCAAGGAGGUUCCAUACUGCAUUAAUUCAGAAAUUGGAUCAGGAAUUGGAUCAUCAUACCAUGACAGAUAUUCGAUGAGAUCUUCAUAAAGUGUAUCUUUUGUAAUAAGAUCG
This 281-nucleotide long non-coding RNA is filed under the name Capsicum annuum. RNAcentral describes it as "long non-coding RNA (CANN_LNC014873)". The record is from RNAcentral. Lineage: Eukaryota; Viridiplantae; Streptophyta; Magnoliopsida; Solanales; Solanaceae.